GACGAACGCUGGCGGCGUGCUUAACACAUGCAAGUCGAACGGCAAGGCCCUGCUUUUGUGGGGUGCUCGAGUGGCGAACGGGUGAGUAACACGUGAGUAACCUGCCCUUGACUUUGGGAUAACUUCAGGAAACUGGGGCUAAUACCGGAUAGGAGCUCCUGCUGCAUGGUGGGGGUUGGAUAGUUUCGGCGGUUGGGGAUGGACUCGCGGCUUAUCAGCUUGUUGGUGGGGUAGUGGCUUACCAAGGCUUUGACGGGUAGCCGGCCUGAGAGGGUGACCGGCCACAUUGGGACUGAGUUACGGCCCAGACGCCUACGGGAGGCAGCAGUGGGGAAUAUUGCACAAUGGGCGGAAGCCUGAUGCAGCAACGCCGCGUGCGGGAUGACGGCCUUCGGGUUGUAAACCGCUUUCGCCUGUGACGAAGCGUGAGUGACGGUAAUGGGUAAAGAAGCACCGGCUAACUACGUG
RNAcentral lists this ribosomal RNA (468 nucleotides) under uncultured bacterium. Its description in RNAcentral is "partial 16S ribosomal RNA". It matches the Rfam family "Bacterial small subunit ribosomal RNA", at positions 28 to 507 of the family's 1533-position model. The record is from RNAcentral.